Molecule: ribosomal RNA, 1297 nt
Filed under: uncultured prokaryote
Description: partial 16S ribosomal RNA
Rfam family: Bacterial small subunit ribosomal RNA
Source: RNAcentral
AGAGUUGAUCCUGGACUCACCGUGAACGCUUAAGGCGUGCCUAACACAUGCAAGUCGAGCGAAGUGGCAGCUGUAGCAAUACAGUAUGUGCUUAGCGGCAGGCGGGUGAGUAACACGUAGAUAACUUACCUCUUAGAGGGGGAUAGCCCGCCGAAAGGCGGGGUAAUACCGCGUAAGAUACUUUUGCGGCAUCGCGAAGGUAUGAAACAUCCGCAAGGAUGGCAGAGAGACGGGUCUACGGCCUAUCAGCUAGUUGGUGAGGUAAUGGCUCACCAAGGCGACGACGGGUAGCCGACCUGAAAGGGUGAUCGGCCACACUGACACUUAGACACGGGUCAGACUCCUACGGGAGGCAGCAGUGAGGAAUUUUGGACAAUGGGGGAAACCCUGAUCCAGCGACGCCGCGUGGAGGACGAAGGUUUUCGGAUUGUAAACUCCUUUUGUCUGGGACUAAGAAACUCGGGAAAACUCGAGGAGUGAAUGUACCAAGUGAAUAAGCCACGGCUAACUUCGUGCCAGCAGCCGCGGUAAUACGAAGGUGGCAAGCGUUACUCGGAAUAACUAGGCGUAAAGGGCAGGUAGGCGGUCUUGUAAGUCUGUUGUGAAAGCUCCCGGCUCAACUGGGAGAGGUCAACAGAUACUGCAGAGCUUGAGUAUAGGAGAGGUUACUGGAAUUCCUGGUGUAGCGGUGAAAUGCGCAGAGAUCAGGAGGAACCCCAAUGGCGAAAGCAAGUAACUGGACUAUUACUGACACUCAGCUGCGAAAGCUAGGGGAGCAAACAGGAUUAGAUACCCUGGUAGUCCUAGCUGUAAACGAUGUACAUUAGGCGUGGGAGGUAUCGACCCCUUCCUUGCCGACGCUAACGCAUUAAAUGUGCCGCCUGGGGAGUACGGCCGCAAGGUUAAAACUCAAAGGAAUUGACGGGGGCCCGCACAAGCGGUGGAGCAUGUGGUUUAAUUCGACGCAACGCGAAGAACCUUACCUGGGCUUGAACAGUAGGAAGUAGAAUUGAUGAAAGUUGAGACGACCUGUCAAAUCAGGAGCCUAUAGAGGUGCUGCAUGGCUGUCGUCAGCUCGUGUCGUGAGAUGUUGGGUUAAGUCCCGCAACGAGCGCAACCCUUAUCCUAUGUUGCCAAGUCUGUAAUGGACUGCACUCUUAGGAAACUGCCUCGGAUAACGGGGAGGAAGGUGGGGAUGACGUCAAGUCACCAUGGCCUUUAUGUCCAGGGCUACACACGUGCUACAAUGGCCGGUACAGCGAGCAGCAACUCCGCAAGGAUGAGCAAAUCUCUAAAA